Long non-coding RNA from Sycon ciliatum, 798 nucleotides. RefSeq lists it as uncharacterized. Lineage: Eukaryota; Metazoa; Porifera; Calcarea; Leucosolenida; Sycettidae. The transcript is spliced from 2 exons. The record is from RefSeq and is a predicted model, not a curated record.
CUCAUCCACGACUUGGCUGGUAUUGUGACGUAGGUUUCGUGCCUCCAGGACUCAUUGCUCACUGUGUGAUCAACCAUGCUGUGUUCGCAUCAUCGUUGGCAUCUCCAAGUGGGACCAGUGGGACAACCGCGUCAACUCCAUUAUCAUGGCCAGAACUCUUGGCAUUGACUGUGAUGUCGCGGACAUCAUCCGAGAAUAUCGACUGCGUUGGCUUAAACAUGUUGGCCGGAUUAACGACGACCGUAUGGCGAAGCGAGUUUUGUUCGGGGAGCUUCCUGCAACGCUUCCUCGCCAUGGUCCACGCAAGCGGUGGCGUAACGUCGUCGUAGAUGACCUCCACUCCAUCAGCCCCCCUGUGCAUUCUUUAUGCUGGUUUGCUGCUGCCCAGGAUCGCUCUGCCUGGAGGCAGAUUGCUCAUCGUCGUCCUCCCGCCCGUGCUCCCCCUGAUCCUGACUCUGGCUUCCGCUGCGCAUGUGGAAAGGUCUGCCGUUGUCCCGGGGAUCUCAAGCGCCACGCUCCGUACUGCAAAGCUAGCAGACAGCCCAUUCGCUAUCAUUGCCAUGGGCAAUGGGCACAUUCAAGGUUCAAGGUGUGUGUGUGUGUGUGUGUGUGUGUGUGUGUGUGUGUGUGUGUGUGUGUGUGUGUGUGUGUGUGUGUGUGUAUCAGCCUUGCAAGAUGUUGAAUGGUGUAAUCCCAACACAAGUUGCUAUGUUGAACAUAUCUCUUCGCUAUCAUCGCUUCCGCGUUGGGCAGGUCAGACGUGUGUGUAUGUACAUGGCACUCAAUCUGCGGACGGAA